GGCUUCAGGGACCAAUCUCAGGUAUCAGGCUUGGCCCCAGGAGGCUUAUUGUACAUGAGCGUCCUUUAAGAUCAGUAAAGCUCUGCUGUGUAAAUGGCCACAUUGAUCUGUGGGUACACUUCAAGGCUGGUUCCAUGUCUUGGCUGUUAUGAAUAUUAUAAGAAAAACCCCAGAUGGACAGAAUAUGCCAUCAGUCAUGUUUGUCUCAGCACACAGC
Long non-coding RNA from Mus musculus (house mouse), 217 nucleotides. RefSeq annotates it as predicted gene, 39595. NCBI's taxonomy places the organism in Eukaryota, Metazoa, Chordata, Mammalia, Rodentia, Muridae. The transcript has 3 exons. The record is from RefSeq and is a predicted model, not a curated record.